This 1248-nucleotide ribosomal RNA is filed under the name Triticum aestivum (bread wheat). Its description in RNAcentral is "partial small subunit ribosomal RNA". The record is from RNAcentral. Lineage: Eukaryota; Viridiplantae; Streptophyta; Magnoliopsida; Poales; Poaceae.
AUGGCGCCGCCGGGCGACAUGGAAGCCACGCCGUCGGAGCAGCCGGAGCUCCAGGACGAGCUCCUCGAGGAAAUCCUCCUCCGGCUAACCACGGCGGCCGACCUCGCCCGCGCCUCGACGGCCUGUCCUACCCUGCGUCGCGUCAUCACCGACCACUCCUUCCUCCGCCGCUUCCGCACCCUCCACCCGCCGCCUCUCCUCGGCAUAAUUUCCGUCACCUUCCGCCCGGCCCAGCACCCCCAUCCCUCCGCCGCCGCCGCCCGCGCCUUCGCCGCCGCGGAGGUCGAUUUCUGGUGCUCCUUCCUCCCCUCCGUCGACCGUUGGCGCCACCGCCACUUCCGUGACGGCCGCGCCCUCUUCUCCGGCGUCCCCGAGGGAAGCAGCUACGCUCCCGACGAUUACGAUCCCCGCGACUUCGCCGGGGAGUUCGCUGUCUGCGACCCCCUGUACCGGCGGUACCGUCUGCUACCUCCCAUUUCCGACGAACUAGCGGUGCUAGUUCAUCAGCCGGAUAUCGUCAACUUCGAGCCCUUCCUUGCUCCUCCUGGCGAUGAUGAAGACCCUACUUCAUUCAGAGUAAUGUGCCUGGCGCAGUGCACAACCAAGCUGGUCCUCUUCGUCUUCUCGUCGGGUGCCGGCGAAUGGCAUGCUGUUACCUUUGACGGCUGGAUCGCUUUGGUGACAAGUCCUGGCAACCAGGUUCCAGACGCUCACUUGACAUGGGCCUCAGAGCGCUACUAUGUGCACAAAUGCUUCUGUUGGGCUGUUUCUCCGUCGAACAAGUUGCUCAUGCUUGACACGCGCACGAUGGAGUUCUCUGCUGUCGACCUCCCACGUCAACAUGUCCCCGGCCAAAUGAUCCCAAUGAUGGCUUUUGUAGAGGCAGGGGAAGGAAGGCUUGGGAUGUUUACUCUCAUGAAUCGAAUUGAUAAUGACAGGUAUUUCCUUCGCUAUACCAAGUUGCAAAAAGAUGGAGAUGGUGCAAACAAGUGGCAAUCAGUGGUGAUAAUCUCCUUGCCUUUGGGUUACCGAUAUACGAUCAUGGAUGUAGCUGGGGGAUACUUACUCCUGCAAGGGAUUCCAGAAAACCUGCAUUCGGCCCCCUUGCCGGAAAGGCCAGAUUUCGACUGUUUUUCACUGAAUCUCCAGACAUUGCAGCUUGAGUGGUUCUGUGCAAAUAAGUACAUGAUUGGGGGUGCCCCUCUGUAUGCUGGUUUCCCACCAUCCUUGACGCCACCAACUGUUUGA